UACAGAGGGUGCAAGCGUUGUUCGGAAUUAUUGGGCGUAAAGAGCUCGUAGGCGGUCUGUCGCGUCGGCUGUGAAAUCCCGAGGCUCAACCUCGGGUCUGCAGUCGAUACGGGCAAACUAGAGUAUUGCAGGGGAGACUGGGAUUCCUGGUGUAGCGGUGAAAUGCGCAGAUAUCAGGAGGAACACCGGUGGCGAAGGCGGGUCUCUGGGCAAUAACUGACGCUGAGGAGCGAAAGCGUGGGGAGCGAACAGG
RNAcentral lists this ribosomal RNA (253 nucleotides) under uncultured bacterium. RNAcentral describes it as "partial 16S ribosomal RNA". It matches the Rfam family "Bacterial small subunit ribosomal RNA", at positions 524 to 776 of the family's 1533-position model. The record is from RNAcentral.